CGGGGAGAUGCGCGGGGCUGCGCGGACGGACCGAGGAGCACGGCCCGGCGGCCCCGCCGUGGGUGGCGGGAGGCGGCGGGGCGGUUACUUUGAUGACACCACAAGUACAGCUCUGCCUUCGCUAGUGGUAACAUGUACCAGUAUAGCAUCUACCUCUCCUGACGAGGAAAAAAUUACACCAGUGAAGAAAAGCCUUACAACUGGUGCCAAACCGUAGGCUCGUCAGCAAAACUACACCACUUUUACGGUCUCACAACAUCCAACAGGCUGAGUUUCACUACCCCAGGGUUGUCUGAAGAAGGUGGGAUAUUUAACCUGAGCGGCGUUAACACUACCACCGCGCUUUGGCUUUAAAAGUUGACCGGAGCUUUGUGGCUCGGAGAACGGAUCCACUGACCUUUCGCUUGCGUGCUCUUCAGCUCCUGCUCUGCCACAGGCCAAUCCUGGGCCCCUCUUGAGCAGAAACUGCUGAUCGUGCCAAAUUCUCUGGUGUUUUGUAAUGUGGGCUAACAUGCGCCGGGGUUUGGAUGAGACCAACAGGCUCAUUUUCACUUAAGACCUGCAGCAGCACUGGAGCUGGAGAGCACAGAAGUGAAAGGUUUUCUCCGCAGGAAUCCAGGCUGGAAAUUCACUUUUGUUUAGAACAAAGUAAGGUUUUCCUUGCUGCCGCCCGUCUCCUGCAGCCGGGGAAAAAAAAGAAAGAGGCCAAACAUCACAGGACGUGGUAUGGGACUACCGGAGAUGGCCGCUGUGAGGCUAACUCAUCCUCCUCCUUGCAGGUCUGUCGCCGUGAUCCUGCCCAUCCCGGCACAGCCCCGCGGUGCCGCUUUCUCAGCGCGUUCGGCUGGGGACACAGGAUCAGAGCAGAACAAAAUCUGUGGGAGGCAGAGCUGCAGCUGCUGGAGGAGCUUAUUUUAUCUGUCAGCAGCUGUACAUGAACCCUCUCUACUGCAGGAUAAAAUCUGACAGAGAGGCAUAAGUCCUGACAGAGAAAGUUUUAUGUACUUUAAAGUCCCCAUCAACCUGUCAAUGCAUAAAUGGCCACAUGCAAUGUAAGUGAUGAUUAAAAGUGAUCCAAAAGAAAGCAUUUAAAAACCAAAUGAACCUACCCGCUACACCAGAUCUACACCAGAGCUUCUUGAUAAGUUAAACUGUUUUUAAGUCGCAGAGAUCAGCAACUAAAGGUCUGCCUGCCAAAAGGCAUUUUAGACAUUCAGCAGAUUUCCUAUUAAAAUGUAAGAUAAGAAACCAUCAAAAUGUACAUAAAAAAGACCCCAGUCAAGUGUGUAAAAUUUCUUGAGGAAUCAAGGAAAGCGUGUCCCAUUUGUGGGACUGCUUCCAGGGGCUUCUCCCUCUCCUUCAGCUUUUGUGCUUUUGUGUUUAUGGCAAAAAAGCAUUUUACAGUUGGAACAGCUACAUUCAGCCUGCAGCCCAAUAGCAGCUCCUUCGCUGGGAAGGAUAUUUAUUAUUCCUGGCGCCUUUAAUUGCCUGGUUAAUCUGUGUAACCAAUAACCGUAAUCCAUGUAAUCCCACGGCCCUUUCACUUGUCCUUUAUCGACCAGGCAGGUAUUCGUUAUGGUGGUGGUUGUGUUCUUCCCUCCAAGCAGGCUGUCAGCUCUUCACACAAGAGGAUUUCCUACCAUGCUACGCGUUUGCACAGCGCCGGCACAACGGAGCUGCCGGCUUGAAGCUUUCAAGGGCUACCAGAGAAAAAAAACAGAUAUCUCUGCAGCCACCCUAGGUCCAUUUGCCAAUUUAUAUCAAUAAAGCUGGAAGACAGCAAGGGAAUGAGGAGAAAAGUGGUAUUUUGUUUAAAAAAGAAAAAGAAUAGAAAAUCAGCCAUCGUGAAGAACCAGUCUCUAUCUUUCUCAUAGUGCUCUCUGACCUCUGGGUAAUCUCCUCCUGGGGAAGUACUGGAAAUAAACUCUUAACUUUUCAAAGACAAAAAUCAGCUGUCAUUGCCUUCUGUAAGGCAAUGACAAUUAAGUCAGUGUCUUAUAUUUCCCCGGCAUUUUUCCAUCAAUAUAGGGCACUGACUUAAUUGUGUCAUUCAAAUCACAUUGUAAUUGUGAGUCAAAAAUGUAAUUCUUGGUUUACCUGCAUUUCUGUACCACUGAGGCCAACGCAUGCGCCUACUGCUCCAGUGAUACAUCCGUAUGGAUGUAUGCUCUAGACCUACACACAGAAUAAAUGGCUGUGGAUAUUUGUCAGGCUGCUGCUAGGAGUGGCCUCAUAUUUUUUGGAUAAGCUUCAGAUAAAAGUCUAAACAUCUGGAUACUUAUAAAAAUCAUCCAGAGCUCCUGGAUGUCGAGGCUUUUCUGUCAUUCAUUUGGACGCGUAUGUGAAAUUGUCAGUGGGCACAGAAGUGCUGUAAUGCGAGGGGUAAUCAGCCAAUGGACAGAAAUAGGAAUCAGAUGUCUUUCAAAUAAAACUCGCCUCUCCACCAGCAAUCCUCCAGCGAAUCUCCCACACCUGUGGAUGAGGGGUUACGCUGCUGUUACUGCCAUUCAGAACUCUUUUAAUGCUGGACGUAUUUUUAAAAGACAGCUCUCGCAGCUUAUAAAGCAAGGUUUUGGCUUAGGCUAAUGAAAAGCAUUAAUGUACUGUGGGAGGUGGAGAGAGAGAAAGAUUAUAAUUAAAUCUCUGCACUCCUCUCCCGUCUCUAAGGGCUUGGAUAAGAAACAGUUCUGCUGGGCAGCUGAAUUUGAGCUAAAUAAGAUAGCGGGGGGAGGGAGCCUUCUUGGUGGUUUCAUACAGGCUUGCACAUGUGGUAGGGCCAGGGAACAUUUCUGAUGAAAAUAAAAUUGUUCUGGGCUCAAUCCAGCUGAAAAUACCGACAGCCUGCCGGGCCCCGCAACUUUCAUAAGGUUGCAGAUCCUGGCUCCUAGCAGGAAGCUUGGCCCAGCUGCCGUGGAAGGCCCAGCAAGCAAAACAAUAGUUUUAUGCCUGAAAGUUGCGCAUCCAAUGGGGAGAGACAGGAGGAGUUGUGCCAACACGCUCCCUCUCUCACAACGCUGCCAAGGUCGGGCUCCUUCUUGUGCCUUCAGUCCCCCUGACCUACAACCUGCGAGUGCGGCCAAGAAGUCGCUUGGGAGCCUAAAGUUGGAGGCGGUUUCUCCUCUGCUCGUAAAAAAUGGCUGGUGGGUCUUGGUAUCUCACAGGCUGGUGGUCAUAACUGGUAAUGGCCUCCCGCAGGAUGAACGUGAUUCUCCCGUCAUUCUCUCCCCUGUCUCGUUUUUUACUAUCAGCUUCUCUUGAGUUUGAUUUGACCUUGAAGAGCAAAUGUUUUGUUGAAAUGAUUUACAAUUUAUGUUAAUUUAUAUAGUGCCCUUUAUGUACAUCACAGGCAGGUCUUUAUAACAAGUAAGUUUGAAACAAUGUAGAUGCCACAUGCCAAAAAAAUACAACUAUUGAAAACAGAAGAGUAAAAGACCCCAAACAACGUUUUAAAACUUCUGAGGGAAUUUGAUAUAAAAACUUUUUUCGGUGUGGAGGGGGGUGUUGGAUUCCACAGCUUUGGAUUGCCAAGAGAUGUGUUUCAUCUGAGACUGAGCCUACGGUGGACAACGAAAAGUAAGUUCAUAAGCUUGGUUAGCUGUUGGAGACAUGGGCAACAAAAAUACUUUAAACUCAGUGCUAUAGAAGUAAUCCCUGCAGCUGCCUGGAUCAGAGACUCAACUCUACAUCCUCUCAGCUUUUGCAUCUCAUCACCCUAAAAUCACCAGUGGGCCAGAACUUCUCACAUCAUGACAAGCUGGCCUGUUCUAGGAGAAGAAAGGGGCAAAAUGAGCAGAGUCAGUUCACCUUGCUGACACACAAUCAAAUCCAGCUCCAAAAUUGUGCUCUAAGCUUCUUUUAAAGGGGAAAAAGCAAAGUUCCUACCAACACACAGCCCUGAUCCUGACAACUCUGUGCCUUCCUCAGGGUUUCACUGACUUAAAGUGCUCCAGAGGAAUAGAAAAACCCAUAGCCACGCUGACAACACCUAUGGAAAGUUAGUUUUUUCCAGAAAAUUGCAAGGAGUGAUCACAAGCACAGAAAACAUGGAAUAUAAUGAAAAUGAAAAGUAAUGUUGAAGUAAAACCAGGCUGUUAGUUAGUGCCCCUUAUUGUCUCUUUAAUCACUGAUUAAGCCCUUGUACUCACGACCAUUUCAUGUGAUUUGAAACAGCAGUAAUUAGUCCCCAUCCAAAAGAGUACUUAGACUCACACCUUAACUCUAAGUAUCUGCAGAUCUCUGCUGAAGUCCCUGUGAGGACUGGCACCCUGAGAUGCUGCCCACACACUUGCACGCUGGACCGAAGCCCGCAUUUUCCCUCUCCUGAACUGCAACGGUGCUUUUUUCCUGUGACCAUGGAAUUAACUUGGAAAUUCGCCCCCACACAGACGGCCUGCCGCUAUUUUUUUCUGCUUCAGCAAAGCUCACUCCAAUGUUUCAGCUGCGGUUGCAGAGCAGGCCUGAUUCUCUACUGAGAAAUUUGCUCUUGAUUUCAGUGUUUUCCGGAUCGGACCUCAGCAAGCACAAGAAAUCUAAUAAGUAUGUCUGUGUGUUUUCAGAGGUGCUCAGCAUCUUGGACUAUCAGAUCAGUCCCCCUUUAGAAGCAUAGAUUUGAAGAGUAUGGAAAUACCAUUUUUAUAUGUCUAUAUACACACACUCACUCCAUACAUGCAUAUAUAUAUAUAUAUAUAUUAUUAUUACUAUUUCACCAGAAUUAUGCAAACCUGUUACCUGAUCAAAGCGCGAGCCAGUAUUAUUUUAACAAUGGAAACCUUUGCUUUUCUCUGCAGUUGUCUUUGUUGAACAAAGCCAAGACAACAUUUUAUCAGAAAUAUAUGCAGACGUGAUCCAAAUGACAUGGAGCCCUGUUAAGCACAGAGAGGGAUUGUACUCUCAGUUAUACCAACGUAACUUCUGUUCAAGACAAAAGAUCCCUCUGAUCUUACAUCAGGCAGAUGUACUUCUGAGCAAAAGACAUAAAAGACUUGUCAGAACUUGUGCACCUCAGUGGGAUUUAUAUCUCUGUAAGUGGGCCCGUUUGAGUUGAAGAUGUAUGUGUGUACAUUCGUAGCGGGAGCUAUUCUUCUCCCCCUAAGUGCAACACACGGGUUGGACGUGAUUGCAUUACAUCUAAAAAUGUAAUAAAAUGUUUUG
This is a long non-coding RNA of Chroicocephalus ridibundus (black-headed gull), 5151 nucleotides long. RefSeq lists it as uncharacterized. The transcript has 6 exons. The record is from RefSeq and is a predicted model, not a curated record. Lineage: Eukaryota; Metazoa; Chordata; Aves; Charadriiformes; Laridae.